This is an RNA transcript of Musa acuminata AAA Group (dessert banana), 1873 nucleotides long. It is a transcript of the gene named probable sodium/metabolite cotransporter BASS2, chloroplastic, with no coding region annotated. NCBI's taxonomy places the organism in Eukaryota, Viridiplantae, Streptophyta, Magnoliopsida, Zingiberales, Musaceae. The transcript has 14 exons. The record is from RefSeq and is a predicted model, not a curated record.
CACAGUGAGCGAACCCUAACACUUCGAUAGAGAGUCGGAAGAAGGGAGGAAAAGAACGCGGUCUCGUCCGACAGCAAGUCAUGUGUGGUUCCCUCGUAAUCCACGCCCACCCAUCCGUCCCUCUUCGUUCGACGACAAACCGAGCCGAUUCGGGCCUCCUCCUACUCCCCCCAAAACGCAGACUCCGCCCUCGGCCGCUAAACCCAUGGCUACAACGGUGACGACGGCGACGGUAGCGUCUUCCUCCUCCUAUGUGGCCUCCAUCUCUCGGGUCCUCUGCAGAGACAGUGGAUCUCAGUCGCGACACGCCAUGGCCGCCAAGUGCUGCUCCUUCUCGUCAUAUAUUGCCCGUUGCGUCCCCCAACCCCCUCAUGCUUUGGGAAGUGGGUCACCGAUGCCGAAUGGAGGAAGAGGAAGGAACGAGGCGGUUGCUUGCUCGAUGGCGUCGCCCAUCAUCCCGGUUUUGAGGAGUCGACAAGUUUUGUGUAAAGCUGAAGCAAAUGCUUCUGGGGAUUUUCCAAAUAAUCCUGUGGCUGAAAUGAGCCAGUAUGAGAGUAUAGUUGAACUACUUACGACUCUUUUCCCUGUUUGGGUCAUACUAGGGACUAUUAUUGGCAUAUACAAGCCAUCUAUGGUUACCUGGCUGGAGACAGACCUUUUCACUGUAGGUUUGGGAUUCCUGAUGCUAUCCAUGGGUUUGACGCUUACAUUUGAGGAUUUCAGAAGAUGCUUGAGAAACCCAUGGACAGUAGGCGUAGGAUUCCUUGCACAAUAUUUAAUUAAACCUUUGCUAGGCUUUGCGAUUGCUAUGACACUGAAAUUAUCGGCUCCUCUUGCAACUGGUCUUAUUCUGGUAUCAUGUUGUCCUGGAGGCCAAGCAUCCAAUGUUGCGACUUAUAUAUCCAAAGGAAAUGUCGCACUUUCAGUCCUUAUGACAACUUGUUCGACAAUUGGUGCUAUAGUCAUGACACCCCUUCUUACUAAGCUCCUUGCCGGCCAGCUUGUUCCUGUUGAUGCAGCUGGAUUGGCCAUCAGUACUUUUCAGGUGGUUUUGGUGCCCACUAUUGUUGGAGUGUUGUCACAUGAGUAUUUCCCAAAGUUUACUGAGCGAAUAAUCACACUUACGCCACUGAUUGGAGUUAUCCUUACCACAUUGCUAUGUGCAAGCCCUAUUGGGCAAGUUGCAGUAGUCUUGAAGGCUCAAGGAGCACAACUUAUUAUUCCUGUAGCUCUCCUUCAUGCUGCAGCAUUUGCUCUUGGUUAUUGGUGUUCAAGAUUGUCAUCAUUCGGGGAAUCCACUUCUCGUACCAUUUCCAUAGAAUGCGGAAUGCAGAGUUCUGCUCUUGGAUUUUUGCUUGCCCAAAAACAUUUCACAAAUCCUCUCGUAGCUGUUCCUUCAGCUGUCAGUGUUGUCUUCAUGGCGUCAGCGCUUACGUACAUGUGUGCUGCCUAAAGUUGCUAAGGUGUUGUCUUUGAAUUGGUCUUUGUUCACGAUACGUCUAUUUUUGGCUGGCAAAGACAUGGCAACUGGGUUUUAACCUGGAAUUAGUGAAAAAAUGGUUAUUCUCGGAAUCUGACAUGAAAUUGUAGCAGAUCACAAUCUUUUAGUAGAAGAUAUCUGCUUGGUGGGAGUGCCCUAGCCGUGUUUUGGAGGAACAGGCCGAUUCCUGUGGAUGACAAGGAUGACUUCAAAGAAUGAGGUGAUUCUUGUUCUUUGGUUGCCAUUGAAAUCUCGAAGCUAUUACUGAGAGGUCAUAUUGGUAGAUGCAAAAGUAGGAUGUUUAAUCCCCGUGGAUUUUUUUUUUCUCUUUUUGUCGGAGAAUUUGUUUGGGUUUCUUGGUCUGCAGAAAUUUGAGCUAGCAUUAGUCUUUUA